Molecule: ribosomal RNA, 496 nt
Filed under: uncultured bacterium
Lineage: Bacteria
Description: bacterial SSU rRNA
Rfam family: Bacterial small subunit ribosomal RNA
Source: RNAcentral
AUUGAACGCUGGCGGCAUGCCUUACACAUGCAAGUCGAACGGUAACGCGGGGCAACCUGGCGACGAGUGGCGAACGGGUGAGUAAUAUAUCGGAACGUGCCCAGUAGUGGGGGAUAGCCCGGCGAAAGCCGGAUUAAUACCGCAUACGACCUAAGGGUGAAAGCGGGGGAUCGCAAGACCUCGCGCUAUUGGAGCGGCCGAUAUCAGAUUAGGUAGUUGGUGGGGUAAAGGCCUACCAAGCCGACGAUCUGUAGCUGGUCUGAGAGGACGACCAGCCACACUGGGACUGAGACACGGCCCAGACUCCUACGGGAGGCAGCAGUGGGGAAUUUUGGACAAUGGGCGCAAGCCUGAUCCAGCCAUGCCGCGUGCGGGAAGAAGGCCUUCGGUUGUAAACCGCUUUGUCAGGAGAAAUACUUCUGGGUUAAUACCUCGGGAGGAUGACGGUACCUGAAGAAUAAGACACCGGCUAACUACGUGCCAGCAGCCGCGGUAA